GGGAAUGUAGCUCAGUGGUAAAGUGUUUGCCUAGGAUGCAUAAGGCCCUAAGUUCAAAUCCCAGUACCA
This 69-nucleotide transfer RNA is filed under the name Urocitellus parryii (Arctic ground squirrel). Its description in RNAcentral is "Spermophilus parryii (Arctic ground squirrel) tRNA". It matches the Rfam family "tRNA". Rfam says of the family: Transfer RNA (tRNA) molecules are approximately 80 nucleotides in length. Their secondary structure includes four short double-helical elements and three loops (D, anti-codon, and T loops). Further hydrogen bonds mediate the characteristic L-shaped molecular structure. tRNAs have two regions of fundamental functional importance: the anti-codon, which is responsible for specific mRNA codon recognition, and the 3' end, to which the tRNAs corresponding amino acid is attached (by aminoacyl-tRNA synthetases). tRNAs cope with the degeneracy of the genetic code in two manners: having more than one tRNA (with a specific anti-codon) for a particular amino acid; and 'wobble' base-pairing, i.e. permitting non-standard base-pairing at the 3rd anti-codon position. Lineage: Eukaryota; Metazoa; Chordata; Mammalia; Rodentia; Sciuridae. The record is from Rfam by way of RNAcentral. RNAcentral also lists the same sequence under 2 other names.